Molecule: long non-coding RNA, 1151 nt
Filed under: Bos indicus x Bos taurus (hybrid cattle)
Lineage: Eukaryota; Metazoa; Chordata; Mammalia; Artiodactyla; Bovidae
Description: lncRNA (ENSBIXG00005014121.1)
Source: RNAcentral
AGUUUGAGCAUUCUUUGGCAUUGCCUUUCUUUGGGAUUGGAAUGAAAACUGACCUUUUCCAGUCCUGUGGCCACUGCUGAGCUUUUCAAAUUUGCUGGCAUAUUGAAUGCAGCACUUUCACAGAAUCAUCUUUCAGGAUUUGGAAUAGCUCAACUGGAAUUCCAUCACCUCCACUAGCUUUGUUCGUAGUGAUGCUUUCUAAGGCCCACUUGACUUCACAUUCCAGGAUGUUUGGCUCUAGGUCAGUGAUCACACCAUCGUGAUUAUCUGGGUCGUGAAGAUCUUUUUUGUACAGUUCUUCUGUGUGUUCUUGCCAUACAGUAAACAGGGUUAUAAUUAUUGAUAUAAUAGUGAUGACUCAUGUUAAUGUAUCUAGUUGGCAUGUCACUAAGGGGAGAUUUUAACUCUCAGUCUUUAACUUAAAAGGUUAAUACUAUUCAGCUUCUUAAUGAGCUUAUAGUAUCAUUGCAGAUGCUUUCUCAAAGUAUUUUAGAAGGCAACUUUCCUGUUAACCUCCCAAUAAAUUAUUUUCUGUUUACCCAGAAUCAAUCACUAUUGCUUACAAGCAGGAAGUAUUGGACUGCCAUAUGAAAUGUGAAAGAAAGUGCCAGGAAAUGUCUCUUUCUGGUGCACUCCCUGGACAAAUACCAGUCAAGAAAAAUGCUGUGUCCCACAAUGGCCACAGCAACUGGGAAACCAUCUUAAGAAAUGACAUUUGGAUACCCAGAAAUGGAAUAUCUAUCUUCAGUCCAGCCAACAAGUUUACACGAUGCCAAGAAGGUAUUGGCUGUGCUUGAGUGUUCUCUAUUGCAUACUUGAUGGACACCCGAAAUCACGAGGUAGGUAUCUCGUUGUUUAGACUGUAUUAUUUGAGGUCAAGUGAGAUAGUCUCACCACAAGAAGGUCUCUUCAGGGGGUAUUCACUAGGAUAUCCCAAGUGUCCAUGGGCACCAGUGCCUCUGGGUCAGAAUGACAGAGACGGCCUUUGACCAGAAGAUACUUGCAUGGAAAGGCUGCUUUCCUCAUUGCUGUAGCCUUGUCACCACCACUCUAAAGGGGUAUGUAUGUCUGUGCAACACUCAUAUAAUGCACGGAAAUCUUUGAUGCUCACACCCAAUACGACACCUCUAGCACCUCAAAAAGGAGGUCUG